RNAcentral lists this ribosomal RNA (424 nucleotides) under uncultured prokaryote. RNAcentral's name for it is "partial 16S ribosomal RNA". The record is from RNAcentral.
CCCUAUGGGGUGCAGCAGGAGUAGAUGGACAUAAGGUUAUUGAUGCCUUCUUUGCCAUCCGCAUAACGGACAACCGCUUCGGAAUCCGUGACGGCGCUUUUGAAUUUCUUCAGGAUGACAUCCGGUUCAUCCAAAACAGAAACAGAUGCUUUCGGAUUCUUAUCGGAUUUCGACAUCUUUUUGUCCGGUUCCUGCAGGGACAUCACGCGGGCGCCCACCUUACCGAUAAACGGCUGCGGUAUCGUGAAAGUUUUGCCGUAAAGCCCGUUGAAACGCUCCCCGAUAUCACGGGCAAUCUCCAAGUGCUGCUUCUGGUCCUCGCCGAUGGGCACAAAGUCCGCCUGGUAGAUUAAAAUAUCCGCGGCCAUUAAAAUCGGAUAGGUGAACAGCCCUACAUUUAUAUUAUCGGAAUUGGCGGGAGGGC